RNAcentral lists this long non-coding RNA (2974 nucleotides) under Homo sapiens (human). Its description in RNAcentral is "HSALNT0391648". Lineage: Eukaryota; Metazoa; Chordata; Mammalia; Primates; Hominidae. The record is from RNAcentral.
AGUUUCAGUCUCGAGGUCCCCGGGCUGCUUCUUAUUUAUGAUCAGAUCAAGGGUAUAAGGUGUCAGUGGGGGCAGCCAGCAGUCAUAGGCCAGAGAGGGGCGACUGCCCGUCCCAAGGGCUUGUCACAGGGUAAGUAACCGACAGACUGGGAAAGGAAGGAGGCAAUCUUCAGCCACUCGGUCACUCAUUCUAAAUUCACUCUCAUUUUUUGGGCAUCUAUUGUGCAAGCCCUGUGGACUUAAAAAGAGAAAUAAGACGCCGUCCCUGCCCUCGGGAGCUCCCGGCGCAUCUGCCCCAACAACUCGCUGAAGCCGCCUGCAGGACGCCUGAGUGAGGACAAGGUGUCUCACUCAGAAAAUUUGCUUGAUUCUUCCUGGCAAGUGGGACAGGGUGAGCUUCCCGGAGGAGGGGACCUUCGAGCUGUGUAGCGGGGAAGGUAGGAGAGCGAUGAGAGCGCCCGGAAGGGACAAGCAUUCGGGGAGACUGAAGCGCAUUCAACAACAUAUUUAUUGAGCACCUACUACGUCCAGGCACUGUUACAUCGGUGAUGUAACAAAAGCCGACAAAAACCCUCACCCCGAGCGCAGGCACCGCAGAGGGCGAUGACGACCCGAGAAGAUGCCGAACGCAGGCCAGGAGGGGGCUCUGGGGAAAAGCAAAGGCAGGGGAGGUUGCCCAUCGGGGAGCCUCGCGUCCCUGGGCCCUCCGUACUCUGCACAUAUGCAGAGGCCCCCACCCGUCCUGUAACCGCAAACUGCUUGGCGUGACUUGGCCAGCGGAGGGAGGAGCCCAGGCUGCAGGACAAGCAGGAGUCAGGGGUAGGUGCGGUGGAGUGAUGGGGUCGCGGCAGAUUGGGCGUGGAAACCGCGCUGGGCAGCCAGCCUGAGGGGUGCGUAUCCACCGCGGCAGGGACGCGGGUGAGAAAGGAGCCCCGGGAGGACGGGGCGGGGCUCCUAGGGUUCUGGCUGAAGGGACCGGGUGGAUGCGGACCGACUGAAAACGCUCGCAAACACAUAUGGCUGCUGGGGAGUGGGGCCCCAGUCACCCGGUGCUCAAAGGCCCUGUGUCCAUUAGAGGAAGUCCUGGCCUCGGGGCCUCUCCUCGUGGCCGUGAUCCCACGGUUCUGGGGCCCUGCAGGAGCCCAAAGCUGAGGGGCCCGGAAGGCUGGAAACAGCCAUUCUUCUCUCAUUGGGGUGUCUUUCAACAAAUUUUCUUGAGCACGUUCUCUGUUCUAGAGGAUACAGUAAUGGAUAAAACACACGUUCCCGCCUGCAUGGCGUCUACAGCCUAGUAGGCGAGGUGAGGUGGACUUGUAUCCUGCAAACAGCGAUUGCAGGCCUUGUGAAAUGUCAGAGUCCCUGCUGUAGGGAGAGGGGAUGGAAGGUGGGCGUCAGGGUUGUUUCCCAAAGGACAGUGACAUGAGCUGAAGGAUGAUCGGGAGUCAAAGAGGGGGGUGCUGGGGGAGGCCUCUGUGCAGAAGGAACAGGACCCUGUGAGAUCAGGGACUAAGGCCAGUGGAAGGGGAAGCAAGCAAGUUCCAGAACAGGACAGGGAGCCGGAGAACUGCAGGAGCCAGGCGAUCAGCUUGGAGACUGCGGCAGGGGAGGGAACUUCUUUGGGUGAAAACCUCCUUUUAAAAGGUCUUGGUCUCUGACUCAGUCCCUGCAGUUGCUGGGGAAAGUGGACUCUUCUGGUAGCUGCUUUUACAGCCCCUGCCCUCAGAGGCCCCCCAGGUGGGAAGGGCCUGCCUCCUAGGCAGUGGGUGGUCACCGAGGACUGACUUUGAACCCGGGGCAAGGGAGCCCCAGAAGGCUGGAGGCCUGCACACGGCACUGGAAGAAACAAACUGCAAAGGCUGUCCCUCAGGGCUAUCUCCACAGCCACCGGAAUGCGGCCUGGAAUAUCCAAACCUGUCAGCCCACCUGCACCCAGCCAGACAGCGACCAUUCUAGCUGCUUCCCCGGAGGCCUGCUGACCCAGAGAGGUGUCAAAAAGCUGAAGCACAACAGACAGACCUCCCACAGACUCAGCAGGGAGUUGGAGGACAGUCGGCACACCAGCAGCUGUAGCCCAUCACCUCCCCCCUCCCCAUUCACCUGGUAUGCAGCACUUAAGGGCUUGCUGAAGCCCCAGCAAAGCAGAGGCCCACCUGAGAGCUUGGAAACACACCUAUGCCCCAGACCACCGCAAUCGCAAUCUCCAGUCAGCCCUGGCCACCACAGUGAACUGCCUAAGUGCCCCAGAUGACUGAGUCACAAGCCAGGGCUGGGAAGCACUGCAUGAAAGGCGGCCUUCUCUAGACAAGGCUGGACACACCCCUGCAAGGCCUGUCUCCUAGGAGCUGGGAUGAAACUCUGGACGAUGUGCUGGGAACAAAGAAAACCCACAUGGUAAAGGCUCGCUUUUCCUUGGGAAUCUGCAAUGCUUACAGAACGGGAAAGGCUGAAAGCCGCCCACAGUGCCGCACCUGGGCCUGAGGGCUGGUGUACCCACCCUCUCCCGGAGGAAACAAGACCCGUGACCAGACUCAAAACCACCUCACACCCUCACAAUCCUUACAGAAUAUUCAAAGACUGGCACUUCAACCUUACAACCUGAGCACGUCUAAAUGCCUAACACAAUACCAAGCACACUGUAUGCCACGCUUUUAAAAGGUAGAGAUCUUAAAAAAACAAAAAACACUACCUCGGGUAUGAAGACAGAUUUUAUGAUGCCAGUCAUUUCCAGAGGGGCUGCCCGCUGUGGCACAGCACCACCUGGUGGCCACCCCAACCCAUGCACCUCCCCCCAUCCCAGUACCCUGACAGCAAGCCAAUGAAAGAGGUGUUAAUAUGGCUAUUUUCCAACUGAGGAAACAGGCAAAAGUGUAGUCAUUUCUCCAAGUCAGUCAAGUUAGCGAGUGGUAGAUGUGCUAUACCUUGUUGCACCCAUUUUGGGACCUGUUUGAAUGGCAUGCCCCACCAUCGCUCCCAC